UUGUGUUUGUUAGAUCAUCUGGCAAAGAGAUUUGCAGAGUGUCGGGUGACCGGCAAAGAGAUCUGCAAAGUGUCAGUUGAAGACGACGCGAGGGGUCGCAGAGGUAGCAACGACUGGAGUAUAACAUGCAGGAGAUCAUCAUUUGGCAAAGUUCUGGCAAAGAGAUUUGCAGAGUGUCGGGUGACCGGCAAAGAGAUCUGCAAAGUGUCAGUUGAAGACGACGGGAGUGGUCGCAGAGGA
Long non-coding RNA from Pseudophryne corroboree (corroboree frog), 240 nucleotides. RefSeq lists it as uncharacterized. The record is from RefSeq and is a predicted model, not a curated record. The transcript is spliced from 2 exons. NCBI's taxonomy places the organism in Eukaryota, Metazoa, Chordata, Amphibia, Anura, Myobatrachidae.